CGCGGGAUGGAGCAGAUGGUAGCUCGUCGGGCUCAUAACCCGAAGGUCGCAGGUUCGAGUCCUGCUCCCGCUACUA
This 76-nucleotide transfer RNA is filed under the name Sporocytophaga sp. RNAcentral's name for it is "tRNA-Met". It matches the Rfam family "tRNA". Rfam says of the family: Transfer RNA (tRNA) molecules are approximately 80 nucleotides in length. Their secondary structure includes four short double-helical elements and three loops (D, anti-codon, and T loops). The record is from RNAcentral. Lineage: Bacteria; Pseudomonadati; Bacteroidota; Cytophagia; Cytophagales; Cytophagaceae.